Molecule: non-coding RNA, 232 nt
Filed under: Rhodanobacter spathiphylli
Lineage: Bacteria; Pseudomonadati; Pseudomonadota; Gammaproteobacteria; Lysobacterales; Rhodanobacteraceae
Also listed under: 1 other name
Source: RNAcentral
CUACAGUGGCGCGGUUCAGGUGUCCCGCCGGCGUACAAGCCAAGGGAUGAAACGGGAAGCCGGUGCGUGGUGUGCGAUCACACUGCAAGGCCGGCGCUGCCCCCGCAACGGUAAGCGAGAUCCACGAGCGGCGAAUGCCACUGUGCAAGGCACGGGAAGGCGUCGUUCGGGGCAUGCGCAUCACGGCAUGCCGCUCGCCAGCCCGGAGACCGGCCCGAACGAUUCCUGGUGG